RNAcentral lists this ribosomal RNA (426 nucleotides) under uncultured soil bacterium. Its description in RNAcentral is "bacterial SSU rRNA". It matches the Rfam family "Bacterial small subunit ribosomal RNA", at positions 26 to 452 of the family's 1533-position model. The record is from RNAcentral.
AGAUUGAACGCUGGCGGCAUGCCUAACACAUGCAAGUCGAACGGGAGUAGCAAUACUCUAGUGGCGGACGGGUGAGGAAUACGUAGGAAUUUGCCCUUAAGUGGGGGAUAACCCGGGGAAACCCGGAUUAAUACCGCAUGACCUCGAAAGAGCAAAGUGGGGGAUCGCAAGACCUCACGCUUUUGGAGAAGCCUACGUCGGAUUAGCUAGUUGGUGAGGUAAUGGCUCACCAAGGCGACGAUCCGUAACUGGUCUGAGAGGAUGAUCAGUCACACCGGAACUGAGACACGGUCCGACUCCGUACGGGAGGCAGCAGUGGGAAUAGUUGGACAAGUGGGCGCAAGCCUGACUCCAGCAAGUGACCGCGUGUGUAGGAAGAACGGUCCGUUCGGGUUAGUAAAGCUAACGUUUAACGGUUAGGGAAAG